GAUUCUCGACAACUAAUAUUUUGGCUCUCGCAUAGAUAAAGAACACAGCAAAAUGUGAUACUUGGUGUGAAUUGCAGAAUCCCGUGGACCAUCAAGUUUUUGAAUGCAAGAUGCGCCUGAGGCCAUUAUGCCGAGGGCAUGUCUGCCUAGGCAUCA
RNAcentral lists this ribosomal RNA (156 nucleotides) under Olea europaea subsp. europaea. RNAcentral's name for it is "5_8S_rRNA". It matches the Rfam family "5.8S ribosomal RNA". Rfam says of the family: 5.8S ribosomal RNA (5.8S rRNA) is a component of the large subunit of the eukaryotic ribosome. The record is from RNAcentral. Lineage: Eukaryota; Viridiplantae; Streptophyta; Magnoliopsida; Lamiales; Oleaceae.